This 253-nucleotide ribosomal RNA is filed under the name uncultured bacterium. RNAcentral describes it as "partial 16S ribosomal RNA". It matches the Rfam family "Bacterial small subunit ribosomal RNA", at positions 524 to 776 of the family's 1533-position model. The record is from RNAcentral.
UACAGAGGGUGCAAGCGUUAAUCGGAAUUACUGGGCGUAAAGCGCGCGUAGGUGGUUUGUUAAGUUGGAUGUGAAAUCCCCGGGCUCAACCUGGGAACUGCAUUCAAAACUGACAAGCUAGAGUAUGGUAGAGGGUGGUGGAAUUCCCUGUGUAGCGGUGAAAUGCGUAGAUAUAGGAAGGAACACCAGUGGCGAAGGCGACCACCUGGACUGAUACUGACACUGAGGUGCGAAAGCGUGGGGAGCGAACAGG